This 373-nucleotide long non-coding RNA is filed under the name Eucalyptus grandis. RNAcentral describes it as "long non-coding RNA (EGRA_LNC005823)". The record is from RNAcentral. Lineage: Eukaryota; Viridiplantae; Streptophyta; Magnoliopsida; Myrtales; Myrtaceae.
ACAGAUUGGACUGCUGUAGCAUUAGUGGCUCCAAGAAAGACAACGGCAGAAUACGUGGCACCAAGUAGAUUGAUCAAAUCUUCUUGUUUCUUUCUAGCAGAAUAAAAGGAACAGAUUCAUCAUGUGAGCGAACACUUUUAAGGUAAUAGCAGCGGCUCAAACUUCACAAAAAGAAAAUGAUCUUUCGUAUGCAAUAGUUUUUUCUUACAUUUUGUCUCCUUUGCUCCAGAAAAUGAAGCCAAACAUAAGACCAAUGACAAUCGUCAUGACAAAACGAAUGGCAUUAUACUGGGAGUUCCUCCAGUAGGACCAGUUCUGUUUCCAGAAGCAAGCACGGCAUUGAGUUUGGAAGCCCUGGCAGUAUUGGGUGGGG